GUAACAAGAUGGCUGCCGAGAUGGUGGAGCUCCAUAAACUGAAGCUUGCUGAAUUAAAGCAAGAAUGUCUUGCUCGUGGUUUGGAGACCAAGGGACUAAAACAAGAUCUCAUCAACAGGCUCCAGGUAUAUCUUGAAGAGCAUGCCGAAGAGGAAGCGAAUGAAGAAGAUGUACUGGGAGAUGAAACAGAGGAAGAAGAGCCAAAACCCAUAGAAGUCCCUGUCAAAGAGGAAGAACCCCCUGAAAAAACUGUUGAUGUGGCAGCAGAGAAGAAAGUGGUGAAAAUUACAUCUGAAAUACCUCAGACUGAGAGAAUGCAGAAGAGGGCUGAAUGAUUCAAUGUACCUGUAAGCUUGGAGAGUAAGAAAGCUGCUUGGGCAGCAAGGUUUGGAAUUUCUUCAGUUCCAACAAAAGGUCUGUCAUCUGACACCAAACCUAUGGUUAACCUGAAUAAACUAAAGGAAAGAAUGCAAAGAUUUGGUUUGAAUGUCUCUUCGAUCUCCAGAAAGUCUGAAGAUGAUGGGAGACUGAAAAAGAAGAAGGAACGAUUUGGAAUUGUCACGAGUUCAGCUGGAACUGGAACCACAGAUACGGAGGCAAAGAAGAGGAAAAGAGCAGAAUGCUUUGGGAUUGCCUGAUGAAAAGUUCUUGAUGCUUUGUGUUCUCCAGUGGUUUCCAUUUCUCUGAUUCUUCUUGGUCACAUAUAUACCUAAAUGCACAGUCAUGUGCCUAUGUCCUGCCUCUCAAUAAGGGAGCAUGUACCUCAGGUACAUCCGUGAAUUGUUGCAGCAAUUUGACUUAUUGCUGUUCCAACUUUAAGAUUGUUGUGUUUUUGUUUUAUUUUGCUUGUUAAU
Molecule: RNA transcript, 854 nt
Organism: Carlito syrichta (Philippine tarsier)
Lineage: Eukaryota; Metazoa; Chordata; Mammalia; Primates; Tarsiidae
Gene name: SAP domain-containing ribonucleoprotein pseudogene
Exons: 1
Source: RefSeq, a predicted model, not a curated record